GAUCAACGCUGGCGCCGCGCCUAAUACAUGCAAGUCGAGCGAACAGAUGAGGUGCUUGCUCCUCUGACGUUAGCGGCGGACGGGUGAGUAACACGUGGGUACACUACCUAUAAGACUGGGAUAACUCUGGGAAACCGGAGCUAAACCCGGAUAAUCUACCGACCUGCACGGCUCCAUAGUGCACGACGCUCUUGCUGUCACUCAUAGCUGGGUCCGCGCAGCACUUGCUAGUUGGUAAGGUAACGGCUUACCACGGCAACGAUGCGUAGCCGACCUGGCAGCGUGAUCGGCCACACUGGAUCUGAGACACGUUCCAGACUCCUACAGGAGGCAGCAGUAGGGAAUCUUCCGCAAUGCGCGAAAGCCUGACGGAGCAACGCCGCAUGAGUGAUGAAGGUUUACGGAUCGGAAAACUCUGUUAUUAGGGAAGGACAAAGGUGUAAGUAACUAUGCACGUCUUGACGGUACCUUGUCAGAAAGCCACGGCUAACUACGUG
Molecule: ribosomal RNA, 497 nt
Filed under: uncultured bacterium
Lineage: Bacteria
Description: partial 16S ribosomal RNA
Rfam family: Bacterial small subunit ribosomal RNA
Source: RNAcentral